Long non-coding RNA from Macrosteles quadrilineatus (aster leafhopper), 529 nucleotides. RefSeq lists it as uncharacterized. NCBI's taxonomy places the organism in Eukaryota, Metazoa, Arthropoda, Insecta, Hemiptera, Cicadellidae. The transcript is spliced from 4 exons. The record is from RefSeq and is a predicted model, not a curated record.
ACUUGUUAUUUGCUACUUAUUUAUCAGUUAGGCAUAGUUCAUAGUUUGAAUUGGCAUUACUUACAACAGUAUUAUUAUUGCAAGAUUUCUGUUACUAAGUUACUGACACUAACUUGUUAUUUGCUACUUAUUUAUCAGUUAGGCAUAGUGUUCAUAGUUUGAAUUGGCAUUUGAAGGCAUUACAACAAUUCCUUGAAGGUGGCUCAACAAAAUGCAAGGCAUCAAAAGUAACAUCUGAUCAGUACGGUUCAAGAAGAAACGAGUGUUGAAUUCUGAUCUUUGUUUUAAAUCAAGAUUACCUUAUUUGACUCAUGCAUCUUCGGCUAAAGCGACAGACCCUGAGUUAGAGGCAGUUAAUCAAAGACUGGCUCGGACAAGCCAAAUCAAGAGGUCUGAGCCAAAUACAAGGAACAAAUGGGACAAUAUUCCUGGUUCUGGAGCCAAGCAACACCCAACACUUGGAAACAAAGACCAAGAAUGGUUAUUUUUAAUUUAACAUUUUAUUCUUUUACUUUACAAAAUUAACACC